AACGCUGGCGGCGUGCCUAAUACAUGCAAGUCGAACGAACGGAGGAAGAGCUUGCUCUUCCAAAGUUAGUGGCGGACGGGUGAGUAACACGUGGGCAACCUGCCUGUAAGUUGGGGAUAACUCCGGGAAACCGGGGCUAAUACCGAAUGAUAGAGUGUGGCGCAUGCCACGCYYUUGAAAGAUGGUUUCGGCUAUCGCUUACAGAUGGGCCCGCGGUGCAUUAGCUAGUUGGUAGGGUAAUGGCCUACCAAGGCAACGAUGCAUAGCCGACCUGAGAGGGUGAUCGGCCACACUGGGACUGAGACACGGCCCAGACUCCUACGGGAGGCAGCAGUAGGGAAUCUUCCGCAAUGGACGAAAGUCUGACGGAGCAACGCCGCGUGUAUGAAGAAGGUUUUCGGAUCGUAAAGUACUGUUGUUAGAGAAGAACAAGGAUAAGAGUAACUGCUUGUCCCUUGACGGUAUCUAACCAGAAAGCCACGGCUAACUAC
Molecule: ribosomal RNA, 491 nt
Filed under: Listeria innocua
Lineage: Bacteria; Bacillati; Bacillota; Bacilli; Caryophanales; Listeriaceae
Description: bacterial SSU rRNA
Rfam family: Bacterial small subunit ribosomal RNA
Source: RNAcentral